Molecule: non-coding RNA, 185 nt
Filed under: Trichlorobacter ammonificans
Lineage: Bacteria; Pseudomonadati; Thermodesulfobacteriota; Desulfuromonadia; Geobacterales; Geobacteraceae
Description: Trichlorobacter sp. G1 6S
Rfam family: 6S / SsrS RNA
About the family: E. coli 6S RNA was the first non coding RNA to be sequenced, but its function was unknown until recently. It consists of 184 nucleotides that fold into an extended hairpin structure with a large single-stranded internal bulge.
Source: RNAcentral
CGCUCUCUGCCCUGUUUGUUUUUGUUCCUGUAGCGCCCGGGCGGAAUACUGAAUAAACCGGGGACCUUUCUCUACCGUGGUGUGCUGCCCUCUGUACGCGGGAAUUGCCUGAAGCGGUAUAUCGGUGCCCACCUUAAGGGAACUCGCCAGAGGCCCCUUGGAGCUGACGGCAGGGUGGAGAGACG